Molecule: long non-coding RNA, 959 nt
Filed under: Nicotiana tabacum (common tobacco)
Lineage: Eukaryota; Viridiplantae; Streptophyta; Magnoliopsida; Solanales; Solanaceae
Description: long non-coding RNA (NTAB_LNC014440)
Source: RNAcentral
UUGCGGAUCGUAUCAAGUAAGCAGCUCACCACGAAGUUUCCUAAAAGCACUCCUACUCUGCUGGGUGAAUACCUCCAAAGCCAGUUUUAUAAUCUGCACAAAAUAUAUAUAAAUGUAAUAUAUGAGUAUAAAAACACGGUACUCAAUAUGCAUCUAAUCUAACCCCGAAGAAUAGUUUUGAGCAGUCGAUAGUCGGACCUACUAACAGCUUAAUAAUCAUAAGAGGCAUAAACAAUAUUUGGGAAGUGAGUGGAGAAGUUAAUACCUCAUUUUCUUUACCUUCACACUCAGAUUGAUGUUUUCUAUGAUGAAAACGAGAGAGAAGCAAAUUCAGAAGGCAGUGAUAAAAGCACAAGCAAGUCACCCAAGUAAAAGAAUUUUUUUACCCCUAUGACAUGUUGUUUUAGUCACAGAAAUGUAAUGACAUAUUUAAAAUCAUAAGUUUCAAAAUCCUCUAUUUCUAUCUUUAACUCCGUGCCCUAUAAAAUAGUGUUACGUAAAAUGAAACGGAGGGAAUAUCAAUUUAGAAUGCAAUGAGACUAUAGCUGGUCGUUGAUACUAGUGCUUUAUAAUAUGUCUAUGCCAAGGAAAGAUCGGAAUAUCUAUUCGUUAAUUCGUUAUUACUUUGAGAAUUCAGUUUAUAUUUGAGCAAAUGCUACUCCAUGUUCCAUUUUCAAAAACCAGUCCAUAUACAGAAGAAAGGUUAUAAUACUUACAGGUAAACGUAGUACAAAAUUUCUCCAAUUAGGUGAGUGAUCUACAUCCAGAUAAGGAACUCAGUGGUGGAAAGAGAACCUUAAUUCCUGCAAAAGAAACUCAUGAACCAUUUAGGAACGUCAGACGCCUGUAUCAAUCAAUCUCCAACAUCUACUUAUCUCUGCCAAAACAAACGACAAACAAUGAUGUAAUGUAUCUCAUACAGCUAAAACUUAAUACAGAUUGGAGACAAAUGAACCAGC